GGGCCCGUAGCUCAAUUGGAUAGAGCACCUGCCUUCUAAGCAGGUGGUUAUGAGUUCGAGUCUCAUCGGGCCCA
RNAcentral lists this transfer RNA (74 nucleotides) under Elusimicrobia bacterium RIFOXYA2_FULL_39_19. RNAcentral describes it as "tRNA-Arg". It matches the Rfam family "tRNA". Rfam says of the family: Transfer RNA (tRNA) molecules are approximately 80 nucleotides in length. Their secondary structure includes four short double-helical elements and three loops (D, anti-codon, and T loops). Further hydrogen bonds mediate the characteristic L-shaped molecular structure. tRNAs have two regions of fundamental functional importance: the anti-codon, which is responsible for specific mRNA codon recognition, and the 3' end, to which the tRNAs corresponding amino acid is attached (by aminoacyl-tRNA synthetases). tRNAs cope with the degeneracy of the genetic code in two manners: having more than one tRNA (with a specific anti-codon) for a particular amino acid; and 'wobble' base-pairing, i.e. permitting non-standard base-pairing at the 3rd anti-codon position. Lineage: Bacteria; Pseudomonadati; Elusimicrobiota. The record is from RNAcentral.